RNAcentral lists this long non-coding RNA (241 nucleotides) under Carica papaya (papaya). RNAcentral's name for it is "long non-coding RNA (CPAP_LNC007636)". Lineage: Eukaryota; Viridiplantae; Streptophyta; Magnoliopsida; Brassicales; Caricaceae. The record is from RNAcentral.
UUCCUGUGCACCGGGUCCAUACACCUUUCCCUAAGGUACCCAAUAAGCUUUUUAUACACAUGUCUAGAUCAUCAACUAGUCAACAAUUACAUACCAACAUUUCAUAAUUAUAUAUCGAUAGUAAGGCAUGCAAAUAGGCAAUACGAAAAUAAAAAAAAAAAAUAUGAUUAGGGUAUUUACUUCGAAUCAGUCAAUAAGUGAGAAUAACAGUCAAACAAUCAAUGAACGAGAAAGUGAUUAA